CUAGUAGUAUUAUUUUAUCCGAAAAAGAUAUCCAAAAUUUCGGUAGCAGUCUAGUUCUUUCAUUUGGACAAGUGCAAAUAUUAGAUUAAAUUAGACCAAGUAUUAAAGUAAAAAAUAUAACAAAACCAAUGCUUUGCAAUUUUCAUGCACAUAUCCCAACUCUUAAUUUUUACCAAAACGUGGUAUAAUUUUUCAACUUCAGCUCCCGGCAACUAUCUACCUUCUCGACGGCGGCGUCUGCAUUAGAUCCUUCACCGGGACGUUGUCCGGUGUCAUCGUUAUCUCGACGAGAAAUUUGCCUAAGGCAGUUCGUCGACGCAGCUUCGUCCUCGAACUCGAAGUUGAGCGCGUAACUCGUCGGAUCGUAGCGGAAAUCAGAGUAGUUGAACCGCCUCCUGUUCUUGCCGCUCCGUCCAUUAAUCAGUCGUCGCAGCCGAUCUCCAAUUCUUGAUCUCGAGACUCUAGAGUCCUCCCCGGCGUCUGUUGCCUGUCCUCAUCGUUCUCAAGAAGCUCGGUGUGGAUUCCCCCAGAAACAACAAAUCGAUGACUUCAGCUUGUCUUUCAGGGACGACGUGAUGGGAGAACUUUUUCAGUGGUAAUCAAGGUUGAAGUUUUGAUUCUACAGGAGUAUGGACAGGCGAAAGGAAAUGGUAUUCUCGCCUCAAUGCGAGUUAUUGGGAGGUUGUGGAAUGCCUUAUAAGAUUGAUUGGGCCACCACGUCAUGUGGUUGCGGACAAUAGCUGCAUUUUUAUGGCAUGUGAGUAUGUGACACAAUGAUAAGCCUUUCUGUUGAAGGAAGAACAGGUGCAACUUUCAAUGGAUGAAUCAACUUCAGCUGAUCUUUUGAAAGCUUUGGGCUAUUGGGCAGGUAUUAUGCAAUGUUGUCUUUGACAUGUUUUUUUUUUAAUAAGCAUGUUGUCUUUGGCAUGUUUCUUAUGACCUGUAUUAUAUUUGAACUUUGAAGAUAAGUGAUAGAGGUGGUCAUGGCCAUGUGAGGCCUAGGUUAGGUGCCUGGCUAUUAGGUUCCAACCCAAAACUUGGGCCUGUCUAGCCAUGCCCUAAAGAGAUUAAAAGGUUUGGGUCUACCCACUGGGCUUUGGCUAGUUGACUUGUCACAUAGUGCAAAAAUGAUUCUCUUCCAUCCCUACCUCCCCCACAAUGUGUGGAUGUGUGAGUACUUUUUUUUCCCGUCUUCUCAACUUUCAUACUCAACAAGUAGUGUAAACUGUUCAGUUGCCAUCUGCAAGGUUGCAUAAUUUCAUAUAUAUCCAUUAUCCUUGGAUGUUAGUUCUUCAUUCUUCUUCGACGAACUAAUGCUUUUUAUCAUCUAAAAUGCAUUUUUUGUGUGGGGUUGUAAGAUAGGAUGGCAGAGUCUCUAUCUGGAAACAAUAUUCAUGUUCCCUU
Tripterygium wilfordii is the source of this 1404-nucleotide long non-coding RNA. RefSeq lists it as uncharacterized. NCBI's taxonomy places the organism in Eukaryota, Viridiplantae, Streptophyta, Magnoliopsida, Celastrales, Celastraceae. The record is from RefSeq and is a predicted model, not a curated record. The transcript has 4 exons.